This 1066-nucleotide long non-coding RNA is filed under the name Phoenix dactylifera (date palm). RNAcentral describes it as "long non-coding RNA (PDAC_LNC002012)". The record is from RNAcentral. Lineage: Eukaryota; Viridiplantae; Streptophyta; Magnoliopsida; Arecales; Arecaceae.
AGAGAAGAGCAAUCUACAAAGUGAUAAUUAUUCUUGAUGCGGGAUUUGCACCCUGUCACCAGCAGAGUCCCCACCAAUCCGAGCAGCGGAAGAGAAAGUGUCCCUCAGAAGGUAUUGUCCGCUUUGGAUCCGAUUUGGGGGUCGAGCGUACCCGGAGCCCUCCUCACGGCGCCUCACGGUUUUGCCCCACAAAAGGCGCCUCCUGAGGAAAGGGUUAUUGAGNNNNNNNNNNNNNNNNNNNNNNNNGACUAAAUUCGGAGAACUCUCCGUAACACAGCCCCCCCAGCGGGAAGGUCCUGUGCCCGGGUCGGCUCCUUACUGGAUAGGCGGAGGGCCGAGGCCCUCCUUCUAGCGCCAUCUGAUGCGGGAUUUGCAUUCCGUCACCAGCAGAGUCCCCACCGAUCCGAGCAGCGGAAGAGAAAGUGUCCCUCAGAAGGUAUUGUCCGCUUUGGGUCCGAUUUGGGGGUCGAGCGUACCCGGAGCCCUCCUCAUGGCGUCUCACAGUUUUGCCCCACAAAAGGCGCCUCCUGAGGAAAGGGUUAUUGAGCCCCCCAUUAUAUGGCACAGACCUUCCCGCUACACGGUCGAUGUGGGACUAAAUUCGGAGAACCCCCCGUAACAAUUCUCUUACCUCUUCUUUGAGUGCAUAAUUGUGUUACUUGCUCAUUUAGAAGCUUUAUAUUUUUUUUCUUUCAUUCCUUGUAAGGUUUAUUGGUGAGCCCGUAAAACCAACGGUGUAGGUUGUUGGUAAGUCCGUAAAACCAACGGUUAGGUUUAAUUGGUGAUCCCGUAAAACCAAUUAUAGGAUUUUUGGAUUGUGAGUCCGGUAAAACAAUCCAACUGUAAUCUGAGGGAUUAUAGUGAAUUUCCAAGAAAACACUUGGAAAGUUGACUUAGGUUCCUUAGAGUGCACCGAACCACUAUACUUUGCUUGUGUUUGUAUUGUGUUUGUUUUGUUUCAAUUGCACUUAUACAAUUUACAUAAGCUAAAGUAUUCAUCCAUCUAUAAGUAAAAUUUAAGGCCUUAAAAUUUAGAAAACUCAAUUCAUCCCCCCCUCCUCUUGGG